Molecule: ribosomal RNA, 567 nt
Filed under: uncultured bacterium
Lineage: Bacteria
Description: bacterial SSU rRNA
Rfam family: Bacterial small subunit ribosomal RNA
Source: RNAcentral
AACGCGUGGGAACGUGCCCUUUGCUACGGAAUAGUCCCGGGAAACUGGGUUUAAUACCGUAUACGCCCUUCGGGGGAAAGAUUUAUCGGCAAAGGAUCGGCCCGCGUUGGAUUAGGUAGUUGGUGGGGUAAUGGCCUACCAAGCCGACGAUCCAUAGCUGGUUUGAGAGGAUGAUCAGCCACACUGGGACUGAGACACGGCCCAGACUCCUACGGGAGGCAGCAGUGGGGAAUCUUAGACAAUGGGGGCAACCCUGAUCUAGCCAUGCCGCGUGAGUGAUGAAGGCCUUAGGGUUGUAAAGCUCUUUCAGCUGGGAAGAUAAUGACGGUACCAGCAGAAGAAGCCCCGGCUAACUCCGUGCCAGCAGCCGCGGUAAUACGGAGGGGGCUAGCGUUGUUCGGAAUUACUGGGCGUAAAGCGCACGUAGGCGGAUCGGAAAGUUGGGGGUGAAAUCCCGGGGCUCAACCUCGGAACUGCCUCCAAAACUAUCGGUCUUGAGUUCGAGAGAGGUGAGUGGAAUUCCGAGUGUAGAGGUGAAAUUCGUAGAUAUUCGGAGGAACACCAGUG